This 322-nucleotide ribosomal RNA is filed under the name uncultured eukaryote. Its description in RNAcentral is "partial 18S ribosomal RNA". It matches the Rfam family "Eukaryotic small subunit ribosomal RNA", at positions 1470 to 1796 of the family's 1831-position model. The record is from RNAcentral.
CCCUUAGAUGUUCUGGGCCGCACGCGUGAUACACUGAGUAAUUCAAUGGGUAAGGGAACGCUAGAGCAUUACCUAAUCUUGAAAUUUGCUCGUGAUGGGGAUCGACGGUUGCAAUUUUCCGUCGUGAACGAGGAAUACCUUGUAGGCGCAUGUCAUCAUCAUGCGCCGAAUACGUCCCUGCCCUUUGUACACACCGCCCGUCGCUCCUACCGAUUGAGUGAUCCGGUGAGGCUCUGGGACCUGGACGGAAAGAGCGUUUCGCUUGUUCUGUUUGGGAAACUUGGUCGAACCUUAUCAUUUAGAGGAAGGAGAAGUCGUAACA